CCUACGGGAGGCAGCAGUGGGGAAUAUUGCGCAAUGGGCGAAAGCCUGACGCAGCGACGCCGCGUGAGGGAUGAAGGUCUUCGGAUCGUAAACCUCUGUCAGCAGGGAAGAACGGUCACUGUGCUAAUCAGCGGUGAAUUGACGGUACCUGCAAAGGAAGCACCGGCUAACUCCGUGCCAGCAGCCGCGGUAAUAUGGAGGAUCCGAGCGUUAUCCGGAUUCAUUGGGUUUAAAGGGUGCGUAGGUUGAUUUAUAAGUUAGCGGUGAAAUACCGAUGCUCAACAUCGGAGCUGCCGCUAAUACUGUAGGACUAGAGAGCGGAUGCGGCAGGCGGAAUGUGUAGUGUAGCGGUGAAAUGCAUAGAUAUUACACAGAACACCGAUUGCGAAGGCAGCUUGCUAGGCCGGAUCUGACGCUGAGGCACGAAAGCGUGGGGAGCGAACAGGAUUAGAUACCCCAGUAGUC
RNAcentral lists this ribosomal RNA (465 nucleotides) under uncultured bacterium. Its description in RNAcentral is "partial 16S ribosomal RNA". It matches the Rfam family "Bacterial small subunit ribosomal RNA", at positions 338 to 795 of the family's 1533-position model. The record is from RNAcentral.